AUACGUAUGGGGCGAGCGUUGUCCGGAAUGAUUGGGCGUAAAGGGUACGUAGGCGGUUAAUUAAGUCGAGUGUGAAAGGUUGGGGCUCAACCCCAUAAAGCAUUCGAAACUGGUUAGCUUGAGAUGGGGAGAGGAAAGGGGAAUUCACAGUGUAGCGGCGACAUGCGUAGAUAUUAGGAGGAAUACCAGUAGCGAAGGCGACUUUCUGGACACAUACUGACGCUGAGGUACGAAAGCGGGGGGAGCAAACAGGAUUAGAUCCCCUGGUAGUCCACGCCGUAAACGAUGAAUGCUAGGUGUCGGGGGUCAAACCUCGGUGCCGCCGCUAACGCAUUAAGCAUUCCGCCUGGGGAGUACGCACGCAAGUGUGAAACUCAAAGGAAUUGACGGGG
RNAcentral lists this ribosomal RNA (392 nucleotides) under uncultured bacterium. RNAcentral's name for it is "partial 16S ribosomal RNA". It matches the Rfam family "Bacterial small subunit ribosomal RNA", at positions 523 to 918 of the family's 1533-position model. The record is from RNAcentral.